UGAGCAAUCUGCCCUUCUCAUCGGAAUAAGCGUUGGAAACGACGUCUAAUGCCGAAUACGACCUCCUUUCGCAUGAUCGGAGGUGGAAAGCUCCGGCGGAGAAGGAUGAGCUCGCGGCCUAUCAGCUAGUUGGUGUGGGUAAUGGCCCACAAGGCGACGACGGGUAGCCGGCCUGAGAGGGCGACCGGCCACACGUGGGACUGAGACACGGCCCAGACCUCCGUACGGGAGCAG
Molecule: ribosomal RNA, 234 nt
Filed under: uncultured bacterium
Lineage: Bacteria
Description: partial 16S ribosomal RNA
Rfam family: Bacterial small subunit ribosomal RNA
Source: RNAcentral